UACUGGUGUUGACGGCUGCAUUAUGUCC
This 28-nucleotide small RNA is filed under the name Bombyx mori (domestic silkworm). RNAcentral's name for it is "ovarian small RNA-21541". Lineage: Eukaryota; Metazoa; Arthropoda; Insecta; Lepidoptera; Bombycidae. The record is from RNAcentral.